Molecule: small nuclear RNA, 300 nt
Filed under: Mus caroli (Ryukyu mouse)
Lineage: Eukaryota; Metazoa; Chordata; Mammalia; Rodentia; Muridae
Description: sRNA (MGP_CAROLIEiJ_G0008770.1)
Rfam family: 7SK RNA
About the family: 7SK was discovered as an abundant small nuclear RNA in the mid-70s but a possible function has only recently been suggested. Two independent studies have found that 7SK RNA binds the CDK9/cyclin T complex (known as elongation factor P-TEFb).
Source: RNAcentral
GAAUGUGAAGGGGACUUGUGACGCGUCACCCAUGGGUCACCAGUGGGGAUUUGGCUGAUGGAGCUGACAAAACCAGGGUUUCCUUCCUCCCUCAAGUCUCCAUCUCUGUCCCUCUAGAAGUUCGGUGGGUCAAAGAAAAUGACCUCUGCCAGUGGAGGUCAAGGGUGAGUGGGCAGGUGAGCUUCCCUUCCAGGAUUUACAAACAAGCUCAGGCAGGCCUCGGGAUCAGGGAAGUAUAGCUCAGGACUGUCAGCUGCUUUAUGGAACACCCCGGCCUUUCUUCAUGGUUUGGGAAUGGUU